CGGCGAGGGGAGUGAAAAAGAACCUGAAACCGUGUACGUACAAGCAGUGGGAGCACGCUUAGGCGUGUGACUGCGUACCUUUUGUAUAAUGGGUCAGCGACUUAUAUUCUGUAGCAAGGUUAACCGAAUAGGGGAGCCGAAGGGAAACCGAGUCUUAACUGGGCGUUAAGUUGCAGGGUAUAGACCCGAAACCCGGUGAUCUAGCCAUGGGCAGGUUGAAGGUUGGGUAACACUAACUGGAGGACCGAACCGACUAAUGUUGAAAAAUUAGCGGAUGACUUGUGGCUGGGGGUGAAAGGCCAAUCAAACCGGGAGAUAGCUGGUUCUCCCCGAAAGCUAUUUAGGUAGCGCCUCGUGAAUUCAUCUCCGGGGGUAGAGCACUGUUUCGGCAAGGGGGUCAUCCCGACUUACCAACCCGAUGCAAACUGCGAAUACCGGAGAAUGUUAUCACGGGAGACACACGGCGGGUGCUAACGUCCGUCGUGAAGAGGGAAACAACCCAGACCGCCAGCUAAGGUCCCAAAGUCAUGGUUAAGUGGGAAACGAUGUGGGAAGGCCCAGACAGCCAGGAUGUUGGCUUAGAAGCAGCCAUCAUUUAAAGAAAGCGUAAUAGCUCACUGGUCGAGUCGGCCUGCGCGGAAGAUGUAACGGGGCUAAACCAUGCACCGAAGCUGCGGCAGCGACGCUGAUGCGUUGUUGGGUAGGGGAGCGUUCUGUAAGCCUGCGAAGGUGUGCUGUGAGGCAUGCUGGAGGUAUCAGAAGUGCGAAUGCUGACAUAAGUAACGAUAAAGCGGGUGAAAAGCCCGCUCGCCGGAAGACCAAGGGUUCCUGUCCAACGUUAAUCGGGGCAGGGUGAGUCGACCCCUAAGGCGAGGCCGAAAGGCGUAGUCGAUGGGAAACAGGUUAAUAUUCCUGUACUUGGUGUUACUGCGAAGGGGGGACGGAGAAGGCUAUGUUGGCCGGGCGACGGUUGUCCCGGUUUAAGCGUGUAGGCUGGUUUUCCAGGCAAAUCCGGAAAAUCAAGGCUGAGGCGUGAUGACGAGGCACUACGGUGCUGAAGCAACAAAUGCCCUGCUUCCAGGAAAAGCCUCUAAGCAUCAGGUAACAUCAAAUCGUACCCCAAACCGACACAGGUGGUCAGGUAGAGAAUACCAAGGCGCUUGAGAGAACUCGGGUGAAGGAACUAGGCAAAAUGGUGCCGUAACUUCGGGAGAAGG
Molecule: ribosomal RNA, 1217 nt
Filed under: Escherichia coli
Lineage: Bacteria; Pseudomonadati; Pseudomonadota; Gammaproteobacteria; Enterobacterales; Enterobacteriaceae
Description: partial 23S ribosomal RNA
Rfam family: Bacterial large subunit ribosomal RNA
Source: RNAcentral